GAAAAUCCAACAUUUUGUUGGAUAAUCCCACUAACUCUUAGUGGGAUAUGUGGCUAUAUGAGAUAUAGACACCUAGCCCACUAAGUUCCACUAAUUGUUAGUGGAACAUUAGGUGUUGAGAUUUGGCAAAUGAAUUGCAUGCAUUUUUGCAUGCAAUUAGGCUAUAAAUAGAGGUGUUUUCAAAUGUUGAAGGACUUUUGCCUCUUUUAUCAUUUUCAUCAUCUCAACAAAAGAAAAAAAAACUUCCAAUCUCAUUUUAUCUCCAUUAUUUUCUACACCAAAAUUGGGUCCCACAACCCGGUUCUUUGUCUAGAGGAUAGCAGUUGAGUACUAGUGGUGGUCUCGGGUAGAAUUGGUAAGAAGACAUCAAACCUUUUGAAAGCUUCAAAGGUAAUACUUCUUAAAACCCUAAUUUGAUUAGUUUAUGGUUACAUGUUAAUUGUGGCAAUUAGGGUAGAAAUUCGAUUCUUUUUCCGCUGUGCAUGACUUAGUUCUAUCAUGUGGUAUCAGAGCAUGCUUCAUUUUUACCCAAUUGCAUGUGGUGGGUUCAUAUUUAUUAGAUAAAUUUUGGUUUGAACUAAAAUGGAUAUAUUAUGAUUUUGGCUCUAGAUUAAGUGUUUUUGUUCUAAUUAUUGUAAUUAGCCUUGUUAAUGGCUUAUUUUUAUUGUUGCAAAGUGUUUGUAAUUUUUUAAAAAAUAAAAAAAGUCAUUAGAGUUGAAGCUAGGCUGUAAUUGGUUCAACCGGGUGAGAGAAUUGAAAAAAAUGAAGAAAAGAAGGUCACAGACCCGAAAACCCGGCCUUGACCCGCUUCGCGACCCGCACCGCGCCCGCGCGCCCUCCUGCGUCCGCACGCCCGCCGCCCGCCGCGCCUGCGCCCGCGCGCCGCAUGCGCCCGCGCGCCCCUGCGCCCGCCUGCCGCCGACCCGUGUGCGCCUGGGCCGGUUCAAGCCAAUAAAUUUGGGCCGGUUCAAGCGGUUUCGGUUGGUUUUUCAGCCGGUUCGAAGUUUUUGGGAGUGGUUCUGUACUACACCAAAUUAAUUAUGUAAUAAUUUAGUACUUAGCUUAAUUUAGGAGCCAAAAAUCAGUCCAUUUUAGGGUGUUUUUUUUUAUUUAUGCAUGUGAUGUAUGAUUAAAUUACUUUAAAUUUGUAUGUGCAUUUUGAAUGUCAUAUAGAUUUAAAAUCCCACCAUAGGUUAACAUGUUCAUGCAUUAAAAUGUAUGAUAUAAAGGUUAUAUUGUAUUGUAUGCAUGUUAAUUGAUUAAUAUGGAAAUUAAUUAAUAUGAUUAAUUAAUUAUUUAAUUAAUUAAGUUAUUCUUGAUUAAAUAUGAUUUAAUCAAAUUAAUUAAUUAUUGUUUGAUUUAAUUUAAUUAAAGUUAAAUAAAUUAAAAUCCAUAUUAAUUGAUUGUUUUUAUUAUAUAUUGAUAAAAUGAUUGAUUAAGUUUAAAAGUUUUUAUAAGUGUUAUAAAAUAAAUUAGACUUUUAAAAUCAAUAACAAAGAUUAAAUGCAUGCUCACUUAGGUUAAACAUAUCUUCCAUUUUUCAUAGAAAUAGGUCGAUAUCUUGUAAAACUGGUUACAAAAGGCUCACCUGGUUCAAUCUUGUCAACAAGUCAGAUAAGAUGACUAAGGUUGGAGGUUCUUAAGUUGACGGUUUACGGAACACCUCCUACCUGGAGAUCGUAAUCAGUUCUUGAGCCUAGUUAACCUAGUUUUAUGAGCAUUCGUGAGAGGUGUGAGGUAAUAAAAAUGGUUUUUCACCUAGACAUCAUAGGUUAAAAUCCUGUAUAAUGGUUAUACUUGGAUGUUUUAUCUAGACUUAAGAUUUGUUUAAGUUAGCCUAAAUAUAAAUCUUGAAGCUUGGAUUACCCUAUUUUUUUCUUUAGAACACUUCAACUAGAGAAAAAUAAUGUAUUUUAGCUCUAGUGUCCCUAAGAGUUCACACCGUGAGGUCCAUGCAGGGCUUUGUGCCGUGCAUAGGAGCGGCCUCCCUUCGGAGAGUGUUUGCAUGGAUCAAAAUCAAGGUGAAUAGGGGAAGUAGUUCAUAGUAAGUGGGUGAGGGAUUUGUGGCAGCACAUCCCACGGUCUCUUCCAUUAGGUCGCACCGUGAGAUUUCUAUAAUAUGCCUGCUUGUCUGCCCUGGAGCGACGUUCCCUUCGGAGGGUUGUAUUAUAGGAUUCGGAACACCGCGAACUCCAAAUCUGGAUAGGUUUUCUUAGAUUAGUUUUCAUAAAUGAUUCUAAUCUAUGAAAUCUGAAAAUGGUGGGUAACACUUACAAGAAUUACUAAGUUGUUAGUAUAUUCUUGACUAAAGUAGCGAUAACUAAGUGCUAUAAAGAAUAAAGAGUUAUUCUAGAGAUAGCAUCUAGUCAAGAUUGUCUUGGUUCAAAGGAGGAAUAAUCAACUACCCUUCGGAGAAGGUUGUUCUAAACCUUUGAAAUAUUGUUGCAAAAUACAAAUAAUGAAAGGGUACAUUAUUAGUAAUUGCUAAAUUAGAUUGGAUAUUUUUUAUGAUUAUAGUUUUUUCCUAAAAAGAAUAUGUUUGUUUUUCAGCAUGAAUAGCUCAAUAGUUCAACUUUUAGCUUCCGAAAAACUUAAUGGCGAUAAUUAUGCGGCUUGGAAAUCAAAUCUUAACACAAUACUAGUGGUUGACGAUUUAAGAUUUGUCUUAACUGAGGAAUGUCCUCAAAACCCUGCCUCUAAUGCUAACCGAACUAGUCGGGAUGCAUAUGAUCGAUGGAUAAAAGCUAAUGAAAAAGCCCGUGUCUACAUUCUUGCCAGCAUGUCUGAUGUAUUGGCAAAGAAACAUGAAUCCUUAGCCACGGCUAAAGAGAUUAUGGAUUCAUUAAGGGGAAUGUUUGGGCAACCAGAAUGUCCUUAAGACACGAGGCAGUCAAAUACAUUUACACUAAGCGUAUGAAGGAAGGGACCUCUGUUAGAGAACAUGUUCUGGACAUGAUGAUGCACUUCAACAUCGCUGAAGUGAAUGGUGGUCCCAUCGAAGAGGUUAAUCAAGUUAGUUUUAUCUUAGAGUCUCUUCCGAAGAGCUUCAUUCCAUUCCAAACGAAUGCGUCUUUGAACAAGAUAGAAUUUAACUUGACAACCCUUCUGAAUGAACUCCAGCGAUUCCAAAACCUUACUAUGGGUAAAGGAAAACAAGUGGAAGCAAAUGUUGCUACCACAAAAAGAAAAUUUAUAAGAGGAUCGUCCUCUAAAACCAAAGCUGGACCCUCAAAACCUAAUGCUCAAAUAAAAAAGAAGGGAAAGGGAAAGACUCCCAAACAGAACAAGGGUAAGAAAGGUGCAGAAAAAGGUAAGUGUUACCAUUGUGGCCAAAACGGGCACUGGUUAAGAAACUGCCCAAAAUACCUUGCAGAAAAAAAGGCAGAGAAGGAAACACAAGGUAAAUAUGAUUUACUAGUUGUAGAAACAUGUUUAGUGGAAUAUGAAAAUUGUACCUGGAUACUAGAUUCAGGAGCCACUAACCAUAUUUGCUUCUCAUUUCAGGAAAAUAGUUCUUGAAAAAGCUUUCAGAAGGCGAGAUCACUCUCAAGGUUGGAACAGGAGAGAUGGUCUCACUUCAGCAGUGGGAGAUUUAAAGUUGUUUUUUAGAGAUAGAUAUGUCAUACUUAAGAAUGUCUUAUAUGUACCUCAAAUGAAAAGAAAUUUAAUAUCUAUCUCUUGUAUUUUGGAACAAAUGUAUAGAAUAUCUUUUGAAAUUAAUGAAGCGUUCGUUUUCUAUAAAGGUAUUCUAGUUUGUUCUGCUAUACUUGAAGACAACUUAUAUAAGUUAAGACCAACCAGAGCAAAUUUUGUCUUAAAUACUGAAAUAUUCAGAACAGCUGAAACUCAGAAUAAAAGACAAAAAGUUUCUUCUAAUGCCUAUUUAUGGCACUUAAGACUUGGUCACAUAAAUCUCAAUAGGAUUGGGAGAUUAGUUAAAAGUGGGCUUCUAAUCAGUUAGAAAAUAAUACUUUACCUCUUGUGAAUCUUGUCUUGAAGGAAAAAUGACCAAGAGAUCUUUUACUGGAAAAGGUCUAAGAGCCAAAAGACCCUUAGAGCUCGUACAUUCGGACCUUUGUGGACCAAUGAAUGUCAAAGCUCGAGGUGGAUAUGAAUAUUUCAUUAGCUUCAUUGAUGAUUAUUCAAGGUAUGGUCAUAUUUACCUAAUACAUCAUAAGUCUAAUAGUCUUGAAAAGUUCAAAGAAUAUAAGGCUGAAGUAGAAAACGAAUUAGGUAAAACAAUAAAAAUACUUCGAUCAGAUCGAGGUGGAGAGUAUAUGGACUUACGAUUCCGAGACUAUUUAAUAGAAAAUGGAAUCCAGUCACAACUCUCUGCACCUAGUACACCUCAACAGAACGGUGUAUCAGAAAGAAGAAACGGACCUUGUUAGACAUGGUUCGCUCUAUGAUGAGUUUUUCUCAGAUGUCAGAUUCUUUUUGGGGAUAUGCUUUAGAAACAGCUGCUUAUAUUUUGAAUAAUGUUCCCUCUAAAAGUGUUUCAGAAACACCUUAUGAGCUAUGGAAAGGGCGUAAAGGAAGUUUACGUCAUUUUAGAAUUUGGGGUUGUCCAGCACACGUGUUGGUACAAAAUCCUAAGAAAUUGGAACAUCGUUCAAAAUUAUGCUUUUUCAUAGGUUAUCCAAAAGAAUCAAGAGGUGGUUUGUUUUAUGAUCCUCAAGAAAAUAAAAUAUUUGUGUCAACAAAUGCCACAUUCUUAGAGGAAGACCACAUCAGGGAUCAUCAACCUCGUAGUAAACUAGUAUUAAAAGAAAUUUCCAAAAGUGCUAUAGAUAAACCUAGUUCAUCCACUAAGGUAGUUGAUAAGACUAGGAAAUCUGGUCAAUCACAUCCUUCUCAACAGUUGAGAGAGCCUCGACGUAGUGGGAGGGUUGUUCAUCAGCCUGAUCGCUAUUUGGGUUUAAUUGAAACUCAAGUCGUCAUACCUGACGAUGGCAUAGAGGAUCCAUUAACCUAUAAACAGGCAAUGAAAGAUGUAGAUCGUGACCAAUGGAUCAAAGCCAUGGACCUCGAAAUGGAGUCUAUGUACUUUAAUUCUGUCUGGACUCUAGUAGAUCAACCAAAUGACGUAAAACCUAUUGGUUGUAAAUGGAUCUACAAGAGAAAACGAGACCAUGCCGGUAAAGUACAGACUUUAAGGCUCGACUUGUGGCAAAGGGUUAUACCUAGAGAGAGGGAGUAGACUAUGAGGAAACUUUCUCUCCGUUGCCAUGUUAAAGUCAAUUAGAAUACUCUUAUCCAUCGCCACUUUUUAUGAUUAUGAAAUUUGGCAGAUGGAUGUCAAGACAGCUUUUUUGAACGGUAAUCUUGAAAGAGUAUCUAUAUGUCUCAACCAGAGGGGUUUAUAAACAAGAUCAAGAACAAAAGGUUUGUAAGCUUAAAAAAUCCAUUUAUGGAUUAAAACAAGCUUCUAGAUCCUGGAAUAUAAGAUUUGAUAUUGCGAUCAAAUCUUAUGGCUUUGAACAAAAUGUUGACGAGCCUUGUGUUUACAAAAGGUCGUCAAUUCCAUUAUAGCAUUUUUAGUCUUAUAUGUAGAUGAUAUUCUACUUAUUGGAAAUGACGUAGGAUAUCUUACUGAUAUCAAGAAAUGGCUAGCUAUGCAAUUUCAAAUGAAAGAUCUGGGAGAUGCACAAUACGUUCUCGGAAUCCAAAUUGUUCGAAACCGUAAGAACAAAACACUAGCCAUGUCUCAAGCAUCUUACAUAGACAAAAUGUUGUCUAGAUAUAAAAUGCAGAAUUCCAAAAAGGGUCUGCUGCCGUACAGAUAUGGAAUUCAUUUGUCAAAGGAACAAUGUCCUAAGACACCUCAAGAAGUUGAGGAUAUGAGAAAUAUUCCCUAUGCUUCCGCUGUUGGAAGUUUAAUGUAUGCAAUGUUAUGUACUAGACCUGACAUUUGCUACUCAGUAGGGAUGGUCAGUAGGUAUCAAUCCAAUCAUGGACGUGAUCACUGGACAGCCGUUAAAAACAUUCUUACUUCUACAUGCUCAUGUAUCGUACAAAGGAUCUGAUCCUUACUGGAUACACUGAUUCAGAUUUCCAAACUGAUAAAGAUGUUAGAAAGUCUACAUCAGGAUCAGUAUUUACUCUAAAUGGAGGAGCAGUAGUUUGGAGAAGCAUAAAGCAAACUUGUAUAGCUGAUUCCACAAUGGAAGCUGAUCAUUUUACAAAAGCCCUCAUGGCUAAAGUGUUUGAGGGUCACCUACACAGUUUAGGUCUACGAUGUUUGUAAACUAGGACAAGUGGGAGACUUAUUGGCCAUGUGCCCUAGUUUCAUAUAUAUUCUCUCACACCACAUCUCUCAUACCACUAGGAAUUUUAGUCCAAGUGGGAGUUUGUUGGAAUUUUUUGUCCUAAAACUCGUAGUUUGUAAAUCAUAUUCUGUUCAAUAAAGUUGUUAUUGAGAAAUUAAAUAUUAUAAUCUUAAAUCCAAUAAAUCAAGUUCCAAGGCUAUUUUUUGAAUAAACUUGAACUUUAUGUGUAAACAUAAACGUGGAUCAAGUUCGAGUAUAUAGCCUAAAUAGUCUAUAGUAUAUGAAAUAAAGGUUGGGCGCCUUAUUUAGAGAAACUAUGGAUGCGGCCCACUUUGUAGUACAAACGAGUGAUCCUAAUCGUUCAUGUAGAGACAUGAAAGUGGGGGCAUCCUAUGUAAAAUGUUUACAUAAGACUGAACCAUGAAUUAGUUUUUUACGUUAUAACACCGUUUACUGUUUAAAACUGACUAUCUCAAUUAUUGAUGACCUAGGUAACUUAGUCUUAAUCCUGAGUUAACUAUGAACUCCUGUUCACGAGAUUAUCCUUAGAUCUGCAUAGGUGAGGGCAGCUCAUCAGCGUUGGCCCAAUAAGCCUCCCAUUUCAGGGGUAAGAUCGGGUGGAUAGCUGGGAACAUAGGGUACAAGAUGGAAUUCACUCCUACCCGCUUUAGGGUUAGUAGAUAGGUUGCUCUCUUAAGCACUGAAUCCAAGUCUUGAACAAGGGGCCCCACCCUCUCAUUGGCCCGAGAGGGAUUAAGUUUAUAGGUUGAACCUUAAACCAAUUGUUCAAUAGUGGAUUAGUGGGACUUAAGGAGCAAGAUGUAAUCUUGGGGGUAAAACGGUAUUUUGACCCAGCCAAGGUUACGAGCAACCUGUGAAGGAUUAACUUACUGAUUAUGGUUUUAUCAAAUGGACACAAAUAUAUCUAUAGUGAGGGGAGUGCAACUACGGGACUUUAGUGGAAUGACCCGUUAGUUAACGAAUGUUGAUUAACUCGGUUUAAAAGAGUUUAGCUAGUUAAUCUUGAAUCGUUGGAGCCCAUGAUCUAUAGGUCCAUUAGGUUCCUCUGCUAGCUCAUAUGGAUUAAACUUAGAACAGUGUGAUGAAAUAAGUCGAAUUGUUCGAAUUGGGAGAAGAAAGGAAACCGACAUAUACAGUGAUAUAGUCGUCGGUCUUCUAAUUAGAAAUAGAGCUUUAUGUUUUACAUACUAUAAGUAUGAAUGCGGAUUCAUACUAAGAAGCUCGGAAUUGGUCAAAAAAUAGUAAAAAGUCAAAAUGUUGACUUUUGACUUUGAAAAGUCAAACUUUGACCGGCCUUAUAUUCAAAUGUGAUUUGAAUUUUGGAAAAAUGAAUACGGAUUCAUGCUCGGGAGGUUGGAAUUAGUCAAGACGGACAAAAUGGUAAAAAGUCAAAAUAUUGACUCUUGACUAGAAAUAUCUAAUGACCAUUUUACCCUUGGACUAAGUUAGUGGGAAAAUCCAACAUUUUGUUGGAUAAUCCCACUAACUCUUAGUGGGAUAUGUGGCUAUAUGAGAUAUAGACACCUAGCCCACUAAGUUCCACUAAUUGUUAGUGGAACAUUAGGUGUUGAGAUUUGGCAAAUGAAUUGCAUGCAUUUUUGCAUGUAAUUAGGUUAUAAAUAGAGGUGUUUUCAGAUGUUGAAAAAACUUUUGCCUCUUUUAUCAUUUUCAUCAUCUCAACAAAAGAAAAAAAAACCUUUCAAUCCCAUUUUAUCUCCAUUACUUUCUACACCAAAAUUGGGUCCCACAACCCGGUUCUUUGUCUAGAGGAUAGCAGUUGAGUACUAGUGGUGGUCUCGGUUAGAAUUGGUAAGAAGACAUCAAACCUUUUGAAAGCUUCAAAGGUAAUAUUUCUUAAAACCCUAAUUUGAUUAGUUUAUGGUUACAUGUUAAUUGUGGCAAUUAGGGUAGAAAUUCGAUUCUUUUUCCGCUGUGCAUGACUUAGUUCUAU
This 8241-nucleotide long non-coding RNA is filed under the name Cucumis sativus (cucumber). RNAcentral describes it as "long non-coding RNA (CSAT_LNC001134)". Lineage: Eukaryota; Viridiplantae; Streptophyta; Magnoliopsida; Cucurbitales; Cucurbitaceae. The record is from RNAcentral.